This 17262-nucleotide long non-coding RNA is filed under the name Nicotiana tabacum (common tobacco). RNAcentral's name for it is "long non-coding RNA (NTAB_LNC001865)". Lineage: Eukaryota; Viridiplantae; Streptophyta; Magnoliopsida; Solanales; Solanaceae. The record is from RNAcentral.
GAACCCUACUAGCCGCCGCCAAGCUCUCCCUCUACUCUACCACCGGUCCGCCUACAACCACACAACAUCAGAAAUCUUUCUUACUUUUAUUCAGACUCCAAUUUCUUCUACAACCAUAUAAAGAGUACUAGGUUGCUCCUUGGUCACAAAUGAAAAUUCAAGGCCAAGUUCAAAGCAACGCCUCUUUCAAUCAUUUCUGCGAUUUCCUCUCCGGUAAAGCGUGUGUUUCUCGUUUGAAGGUCUGAUUAACUCGAGAAUUCUGUUCGGGUGUCCAUUCGCGGUUUGCAGCUUCCGCUCGAGGUUCGGGUUCCGUUUCUCGCUUGCCAAUUUAAUUUUUCAAUCAAAGUUCAGUUCUUCUAACUCUCUUUAUUUCAAAUGAAUUAAAGUUUGAUUGGUUAUGUGAUUCAUGUUCCUCUGUGUUGGUCUAUGUCUAAAAUGAAUAUAAUAUUUAAUUUCUUGCAUCUAUUAGGCUUGAAUUUUAUGAGAUUUUCCUAUGGUAUUAGGAGUAUAGAUUAGUUUAUGGGCCAAUAUUAUGCUUGGAUUCAUAGUUCCUUAAAUACUUUCCUAAUUCUGUAAUUCCUUUUAUUCUCGAGAUUUUUCUUUGUUGGAAAAGUUUGGAUGCAAAAGUUUGUUCAAUAAAUGGCCAAAAUAGCAUGUGAACAUUUGUAUACCAAGAUUCUUAAGCAAAAAUGAAAGAAGUUAAAAGGGAUAACAUCUUGAUGCUUGAAUUGUAUCGUGGGGGUCUGUUACUGAACAUAGAAAAGAGAAUUGAUAUUAACGAGACACUUUAUUAUUUUAUUGUUUCUAUUUGAUCACUAGGAGCAUGUUUAGGCCGAUCACACUCGUGUAGGCAAACUUUAGGUCUCGUCUUUUGUUUCAUUCGAGGUGAGAGGUCGUUCCCUUUAGUUUAUAUUCAGGGAAAUGCCCCGUAGAGUUUGUAUAUAUUAUUGUUAUCCGGGGUAUGCCCCGAAGUGAAUGUAACGGAGGCCGCAACUACACUGUGGAUGAAAUAUAGUGUAGGUUAGCUUAGGAUUUUACUUUUCAUUAUUUUUAUUUUUAUUUUUAUUUUAUUAGGUAGGGACGACCUCGAUCCUCUUCCAUGUUUGUUUUUGUUUGUGUGUUUUCACCUCAAUUUGAGUAUUCUUAAAAGCCGACUUGAUCAUGUACACAACCGUACUAGUUACGGGACUCGGGGAAUGCCUAACACCUUCUCCCCGAGUCAAAUGAACCCUCUUACCCGAAUCUCUGGUGCAGACUUAGUUUUGGAGUCCAAAGUGCUUUAAGAGGAAAAAUUAUUUUUUUAAAAAAUGGUGAACUAGCACACCGAAACCAAUGUCAGGUGGCGACUCUGAAAAGUCCUUUUGAACACAAAUUUUUGUCAUUUUCUAACCGAAAACCCUUUUUAGCUUUACAAAUCUUUUUAUUUAUUUUAAGAGGGUUAGUGAGGUAAAAAGGGGUGUGACAUCUCUCGCGACUCUGCUGGGGAGUUCCAGGUUCGAGCUAGUACUUGAUCUUGUUGGCUUUUUAGGAUGUUCGAUUGCGGUUUUUAUGUGUUUUGUUUGAUUUAUUUGAUUUUUAUUUUUGCUUAUGUCGUUUUAUUAUUUGCUAGUUGCUUAUAUGUUUACAAUUUUUUCUUUAUGUGUUACUACUUUAUAAAUUGUCAUCAUUUGCAUAACCCAUGGUCUUCUUUCUGCAACAAGUCUUCUGGAGUACGUUUGAGCGUACACGGCCUUUUUGUGAGUCACCCGUGUCUUUAGGGGGGUGGCGUGGGAGCGUGGAGUGGGCAGACAGCUAGAGCAGCCGCCAUCGACCACGUGCCGCCCCGAAUUGCCUUGUCUAGUGAACCCCAAAUUUAGGUCAGCAUGUAGGUCAUUCUUAUUUGCAUCAUGUCAUUUAGACCUACUAGGGCUCGGUCCCAGACACCGUGUCCCUUUUUGGGAUGCCUAUCCAAAUUUUGUCAAAAUGGGCCUGUGGCCCAAAAAGACAUUCAAUCAUCCCUAUGUGAUACAUGUUACAUCUUUGAGGGUAAAAAGGUCAUUUGGCGGACCGAUGUUUGGGAAAGAAGGGUGAAAAUGAAGCAAGUAGGGCCCAAUUAUAUUUUUCUUUUACAACUUUUUCAAGAAAAUACAAAAAAUGAAAAAAAUCCAAUUUUUUUUACAUUUUCCCAUCAUUUUCCAAAAAUCAAAAAAGAAAGAAAAAGAAAAUCCAAAAAAAAAAAGAUUUUACACUUUCCUAUCAUUUUCCAAAAAUUCAAAAAAAUAGGAAAAAUAAAAUCCAAAACUAUUUUACAUUUCCAUCAUUUUUCAAAAAGACAAUUUUUUUUUAAAUUAAUGUCAUAUUUAAAGCUUUCUCCCAUAUCCAAUCUUCCCGAACUACGCGAACCUAAUUCUGGUCUUUCAGGACGUGAUACGUAGGCAACCCACAUAGGGUCCGAUCUUCCUAGUGAGUCUUAGGUUCUUGGCUUUGCGACGUCUUAGCCAAAUUUUGCAUGUGUUAGCCACUUCUAGCCACAUCGACCAUUCUUGCAAAAUGGGGUCAUUUUCGCAAAAGUGGUUCAAUUACCCAUGUCUUAGCAUUUUGAGUCCACAACUAGGUGUCAUAUUACUUUAUGGUCCCUCCUUUUUGAGUUUGCAUCUUUAUCCACUUCUUGUCAUAUCGGUCGUUUUUGCAAAAUUGGUCACUUCUACAAAUUAAUUUUGGGCCAUGAUUAUUGGGAGUUCGAAUCCAUAUAAGCCCUAGUGAGGUAUGUCCAUGUCUUUGAGGUCAUCUUUGUUGAGUUUGCGCUAAUAGCCACAUUUUGGCCAAGUAGGUCAUUUUGCAAAAAUAGCCUUAAUCAUGCCUUGCAUGUGUCCAAUAGAAGGUGUCGUGGCAUCACAUGUGUCUUGAGUCACUAACUCUAUUUAAUCUUAUUUUUCUCAUUCAGGUAUGGAUCAAUUUGCUAGACUUUGAGCAUGACAAAUACCCCAGGACCAUCCUAGUCAAGACCAUUGCAUGCAUGAGCUGCUUGAGGAAACUUUUUAUAUUUUAGUCUAUAUUAUGUUGUUUUUUAAUUUUUAUUCUUGUACAGUAGUAUCGAGUCUGUUAGUCUAGUUAAGAUUGUCGAGUCUUUUGUUAUAGUACUUCCUGUUUUGUAUUUGAAAAUCCAAAAAUAUUAUAAAUGAAAAAUCCAAAAAGAUUUUUAUUUUUAGUUUAAUUGUCCAUUACUUUUCCAGAACUACACUUGAUCUGAUUCAUGAGGGACAUGAUACGUAGGCAACCUACAUAAAGUUCGAUCGAAUCAUUAUUAAAAAAAGAAAAAAAAAGAAAACAAAAAAAAGAAAGAAAAAAGAGAACGAAGUUGUGGAUGUGGGAAAUGAGAGAAAAGAAAAGAGUGUCAAUUAGAAAGAAAAGAGAGGAAGGAAAAUGAGCAAGCCAAGAAGUGCUAGAAAAGAAAGAAAAUAGAAGGUUGAAAUGAACAAAAUGGGGAUGAUGACAAACGACCUUGUGACCCUCGAAGUCAUUCUAGAACCAUUAAUAAUUGCUAGGGGCAUUGCACGCAAUGUGAUAUUUUUUACCUGAUAAAUGUCCUAACGCUAACAUGUUGGCUUCGUUUUGCUCCUCUUUGUUACUUUCAUUGUUAUUAUAACAGAGGAUGCACUUUGGUGAUUCGUCCAUACAAUACCAGAAAGCACAAGGCAAUCAUGGCUAACAAAGACUUGGACACAGGAGUUGUUGACCCGUCGAGGGAGGUUGAGAAGUCGGAAUCUGAAUUGAAGGAGUAUGUCCAAAGGUUGAAACAGCAGAUGGCAGAAAUGUAUCAGUCUUGGAUCAGGGGGCAUCCUCCACCUUCAUUCCCCAUUAACUACACAGAAAACCCUGCAACUAUCUCACCACUAUCACAAGCCCAGGUUCCCACUACCGUUAACCCUUCCCCUCAACAUGCACCGGGCUUUACCCCUUACCACAAUGUCCCUGGCACCUCCUCCCAAAUUUUCCAUGCUCCACCAGCCAAAACGACCUCAUACCCUGCUCUGACAUCUGCUCUUAUUUUUGUAGUUCCUCCACCAACUACUCUUCCUCGAUCCUCUAGCGAGACUAUGUUCAAAGUCCCCGAUGCCUAAGGAAAGAGGUCCAAGGAAAGUUUUAGGGAGUUUUGGUUCAGAUGGAACGAACAAGUUACUCGGGUCAGUUCUCCAAUUGAUAUAAAAGAUGUUGCCGAGCCCUGCCAACGACAUGAUCCAAUGGGAAUUCCUGCUAAACACUUUCAGCCUCAAUACCGACCCCAUGAAUAUCCUCGUACUCCAUAUAAUCCUCAUCAAUGCUACUUCCCUCCACAAAAUCCCCUAAGUCAUACCGCACCUUCCCAGUACUUUUCCACAAUGCACCGUCAUAUGCUCCACACUCACAAAACCCGCAACGGUUUGAACCGCCUUCACAAAUGUCUUACCCUCCUCUACAAGCAUAUCAACCCCCUACCCGAAAGAGGUUCCAACCAAGGCCGGAGUACAAAAUGAGAAGGCGGCAGCAAAGAGAAAAGUCUUUCACUCCAAUCGGAGAAUCCUAUGCAAGCUUGUUUGAGAAAUUAAAGCAUUAUGACCUGGUUGCACUUAUUCCUCCAAAUUAUGUGGACCCGCGUUCAAGGAGCUUUGACCCUUCUAAAAGGUGUGAAUAUCAUUCUAAUGCUUAGGGGCGCAAUGUCGGAAAUUGUCGGGAUUUUAAAAGGGAGAUAGAAAGAAUGAUUCAAGAAGGGAUAAUUGUGGUCCAGGACAAUGACACCGAGAACAUUACACAAAAUCCUUUGCCUGCAUAUGAUGAUGCAAACUUUGUGGGAAAGAUGCAUGAUGACAUGGAGUAUGAGAAUCCUCUUGGGAACUUGCUGGCUGAAGUUAAUGAUAUUGAAAUUGGUGAAGGUCUUAGAAAUUUUGAUGUGCAACCCAGUGGUUAAGAUGUCGAGCUUGGUGAUUGGAAAGACACUCCUUUCUUGGCUAGCCAAGGAGGAGUUUUGGUGGUUUAUUUUGUUGUCCGGGUUAUUUCAGGAUUGUAAUCCGGAUAUUGUCUUGUGGUUCAAACUCUUCUUCUUCUUUUAUUGUAGUAACUCAUCUUGUGUUAUCUAGGAUUGUUCCAGGGUUGUAACCCAUGUCUAUUUUGCUUGUUUUGUUCAAACUCUGUUCACCAUCUGUCUAAUGCAAUCUCCUGUUUUCUGUUAGUUCUAGUCAGUUUUGUUUAGGUAACUUUUCCUUUUAUAGUUUUUUUCUACUGACUCUAGUGGCACGACAUGCACGCAUAAUUGUCAGCAUGAUCUUGAAGUUAGUUUAAUCAUGAAGCAAUGGCACAUUUUUGAAUAUGACGAAAGGAGGCAUUGAGGAAACAAGUAAAAAUUCAUGCAUUCUGAGAUAACCUGAACUUUGAAUUGAGUGAAACUAAGGCAGUAAGUCUGGAAAAUUUAGAGGUUGAUAAGAGCAUACAAUAAGAAAAUAUAUCUCAAGCAGUUUGAGGUACACCUGUCAGUACUGAAAUGCAUUCUUCCACAUCAAUAUAAGGUUGAGUCAAGUUUGCUUCGAACUGGCAAGGAUCAUUCAUUGGGACAAAGUUAUUGCUCGUUGGCACUUUUUGUUUGUGUUGAUAUCAUCAAUAGAUAUUAUCUGUGAUUUGUCUGCUUAUCUGCAAUUGCAUGUUUGUACUUGGCAUUUUUAAGGUUGGUAUGACAAAGGCAUUUUAUUCUGCUACCCAAACACUUUUAUCUUUUGCUACCCAUUUUGAGCCCUAUUUUUUGUUUCAUACCCCUCUUUUGGAAUCGAAAAUAGAGCUAGGAACUAGAAAAGGAAAAGAAAAAGAGGAAAAGAAGAAGAAAAAAGAAAAGAGAAAAAGAAAAAAAAAAGAUGAAAAAAAAGAAAAGAAAAAAGAAGAAAAGAAAAAAGAAGAAAAGAAAAAGAAAAAAAGAAAGAGAAAGCGACAAAAAAAACAACUUUCUUUUGAACUACGUUCGACCUGAUUUUUGUCACCACAAGAUACGUAGGCAGCCUUACGGUUCGGUCACACCAAAUAAAAUAUUUCAUGAUCCCCGAAGUCAAGAGUGGGGCAGUUUUUCUUAGAAAUCUCAUCAAAGCAAAAAUCCAAAAAAAAAUCCCCAAACUCCAAGAAACUGGGGCAAAAGUUUUAGUUUUUGCUAAAAGAUCUGAUUCCUAAAAGUUGUAAUUUUGAACCCUUUCAUCUUAAAUUAUUUUUGAGCAUUCAUGCCACACUUUCUUUCCAACCCUGUCCAAAAGCCUAUAUUACGGUCCAAAGAAAGACCUUCCGACCAAUCUUUGAGGAUGCCAAAUCAAGUGGGUAGUGAAAGUAUGAUUUUCUUGUAUCAUGGGUAAUACCUUGUUCUCAGCACAAAGAGAGAAAAUAAUAAAAUGAGAGAGUCUUCUCGGUGAAAACCCUCAUGGGCACCGUAAGGCGACAAUGAGUUGAGGAAAAGAGCAAAAAAUAAGAGAGACUUGAUGGUGAAAACCCUUUAGGGCACUACAAGUCGACCGAGGAUUGUGGAUCAGAUGAGAUAAUUGAAGCGCUGAAGUCCAAUUUCACGACUUAGAGGUACAACAUGAGUUGAAUAUUAGACUUGCUUGAGAGAUUAGGCCACUUAGUCUAGAGGUGCAUGUCAUGGUCAUUGGAGUUGGUAUCCACAUCUGAUAAAUUUCUACUUUGUAAUUUUCUUGUUAGGUAUCAUCUCUUUCCAUUGUCCCUUAUUUUGUUCCUCUUGUUUUGUUUGGGUCCCUUCUCGAGUCUGUUUGAUCAGAACAAGUGAGAAAUGACUUCAAAAUUCACUACCUACUUCCCAAUUGCACAAAAUGAAUUUGGCUAGCACAUCAAAGCGGCAUAAGUCAGGGAAAGGUGGUAUGCGCAUUGAGUUGGUAACAAUCAAGAUGCUUUGAGAUUCAUGUGAAAUGCAAGGGUUCAGUAAAUGUCAAUUCAUGAGCAAAAUGCAACAGAUAGAGGAUGUUGGGAUCGAAUGGAGCAGAGGUGUUUUCUGUGAUAAGGGUUGAAAGAAAAUGGUUAGUCGAUAACAGUUAAGAUCAUCCAAGUUGAAAUCAAAGUUAUCUUGGCAAGUGCAGAAGCAGACACUCAACAAUGAUGCCACAAACUAACCACCACGUUUUCAAACUAACAAAAUUUUAUUCGUCUACAACAGGGGCAAGAAAAUUUGUUAAUCCACAGGGACCCUCCCAUGAAGAAGGCAUGGCUUAGGGGCAAGAAAUUCUGUUCAGAAUCCUCCAAGAAGAGCAUGGUUCAGGUAAGUUCAUUCUCGGCUUUUAGGACCCUCCUGGAUAAUGGGAUUUAGGUUUCAUGUUUUCAGGACCUUCAUGGAUAAUGGAAUUUAAUUUAAAAUUUUCAGGACCCUCCAGGAUAAUGGGAUUUAAUUUAAAAUUUUCAGGACCCUCCUGGAUAAUGGGAUUUAGUUUUCAAGUUUUCAGGACCCUCCUGGAUAAUGAGAUUUAAUUUUAAAAGUUCUGAGGACCCUCCUGGAUAGUGGGACCUAGUUAGAUUUCAAAACCUUCAUAGAUAACAAGAUUUAAUGUAAGUUCUACCUGUAGGAAAUAUAACUUAGCUUUAAAGUUGUCACUCUUAAGAUGAGAUUUAAUUUGAAGUUUUCAGGGCCCUCUUGGAUAAUGGGAUUUAGCUUUUAAAUUCUUAGAGCUCUGCAGGUAACAUGAUUCGAUUAACACUCACAAAUAUACCCAGAUCUCAAACUGGGGCAGAAAAUUUUCUUUUGUUUUGUCUGUUUGUUGUAAUGGCAGGCGUCCACCUGGAUAACAAGGGAAUACAAUUCAAGUUUUGGCGAUCAGGCACCCACCUGGACAACGAGGGAGUACAAUUCAAGUUUUUGGUAAUCAGGCGCCCACCUAGAUAAUGAGGGAGUACAAUUCAAGUUUUGGUAAUCAGGCACCCACUUGGAUAACGAGGGAAUACAAUUCAAGUUUUGGUAAUUAGGCACCCACCUCGGAUAACGAGGGAAUACAAUUCAAGUUUUGGUAAUCAGGCGCCCACCUGGAUAACGAGGGAAUGCGAUUCUAAGUUUUUGGUAAUCAGGCGCCCACCCGGAUAACGAGGGAAUACAAUUCAAGUUUUUGGUAAUCAGGCACCCACCCGGAUAACGAGGGAAUACAAUUCAAGUUUUUGGUAAUCAGGCGCCCACCUAGAGAACGAGGGAAGUCAUUUCAAGUUUUAAGUCAAUGGCAGGCGCCCACCUGGAGAAUGAGGGAAUUUAUUUCGAGUUCAAGUCGUUGGCAGGCACCCACUUGCAGAACGAGGGAAUUCGUUUNNNNNNNNNNNNGGAAUACAAUUCAAGUUGUUUGGUAAUCAGGCACCCCACUUGGAUAACGAGGGAAUACAAUUAAAGUUUUUGGUAAUCAGGCGCUCACCUGGAUAACAAGGGAGUAAAAUUCAAGUUUUGGUAAUCAGGCGCCCACCUGGAUAACGAGGGAAUACAAUUCAAGUUUUGGUAAUCAAGCGCCCACCUGAAUAACAAGGGAAUACAAUUCAAGUUUUGGUAAUCAGGCGCCCACCUGGAUAACGAGGGAAUACAAUUCAAGUUUUGGUAAUGAGGCGCACACCUAGAUAAUGAGGGAAUAUAAUUCAAGUUUCGGUAAUCAGGCACCCACCUAGAUAACGAGGGAAUACAAUUCAAGUGUUUGGUAAUCAGGCACCCACCUGGAGAACGAGGGAAUUCAUUUCAGAAUUUAUUUCAAGUUCUAAGUCAGUAGCAGGCGCCCACAUAGAUAACGAGGGAACCCAUAUCAAGUUUCAAGCUUUAACGGCAGGCGCCCACCUAGAGAACGGGGGAAGUCAUCUCAAGUUUUAAGUCACUGGCAGGCACCCACCUGGAGAAUGAGGGAAUUCAUUUCAAGUUUUAAGUCACUAGCAGACGCCCACCUGGAAAACGAGAGAAUUCAUUUCAGAGUACCUAUCAAUUCGCAAAUUCAAGAAACAUCAGGAGCCCUCAUGAAGAACAAGAUCCAUUUUUCAGUUUCAUGUUGAAGAUCAAGUAAAGAUUAAAGACAAUAAGUAAAUAGGAUCUUGUAUUUUUCUUUUACUUCUGCUGUAAUUUUUCCUUUUAUUUUCGAUGUAAUGGCAGGAACCGCGGACCGGAACCUCGACGGAACCUCAACCGGCUCUCCAUCUUGGUAAACUCUGUCACUCUUCCUACUUCUAAACUACACGUGGCCUGAUUCUUUUAUAGUCAAGGAUAUGUAGGCAGCUCAAAUACCAGGGCUCGGUCACACUCUCUUCCUUUCUCUAAAUUUUUGGUCUAUCUAAAUAAGGGUCGGGUCAAAAAACUUGUCUCGUCGUUCUUUGUCUGAAAACUCUUUGUGUUUUCAGUUAAAGAGGGGCAGCUGUAGACAUGUAAUUUUUGACCCUCCCCAAAAUUUUACACAUUUUAGUGUUAAAUAUUUAGUUUAGACCUAAUAUCACUAUUUUGACUAUUCUAAACUUUUUUGCUUUAUUCAAUCUUAAAAAUAAAAAUAAAAACUACAAAAAAUAUUUUCCUUUAAUUUAGUUAAUUAAUAUUUUUGUCUAGCAAUUUUUAAAUAUAUCUUAUUUGUGAAACUGAAAACCGAAAAAAUAGUCACUUGAUUUAAGGUUUUACUACACUAGUAUUAACUUAUUAAUUAGUGUUAUCAUUUUUAUGUUUUUAAAAGAAAAAAAAGUAAAUAUUUUCUUAGCCUGAUUAGUUUUUUAUAGGAUCAUUUUGAGUUAUUUUUAUAUAUCAUUUCAGUUGGGAGUAUUGACAUAUUUGGUUCUCGUUGCAUUAGGCAGUAUGCCUAAUUGAUCCUUUACUAUCUUAUUUUCUUUUCAGUUAGUUAGUUGGGUUCAUUUUGACUCUUAAAAGUUUUCUUUACAUAAUUCAAAAAAUAAAAGGAAAGAGCUCCUGAAUUUUGUCACUUUCUCUAAGGAAUUGCUCCUCCUCACAUAGACUCACAUAGAAUAAGAUUUUCAUAUUCAAUUUUCUUGGGCAUCACCCUGGACACCUCACCUCCACAUCUCACGUGACUCACAAAAUCACUCGUAUAAUACAAUAUCAUCAGCCCACCAAAGAAAAGAGAAAAACAAAUCCUAAGAGAAGAAGAGAGAACCCUGCUAGCCGUCGCCAACCUCUCCCUUUACUCCACCACCGGUCCGCCUACAACCACAUAACAUCAGAAAUCUUUCUUCCUUUUAUUCAGACUCCAAUUUCUUCUAUAGCCAUGUAAAGAGCACUAGGUUGCUCCUUGGUCACUAAUAAAAAUUCAAGGCCAAGUUCAAAGCAACGCCUCUUUCAGUCAUUUCUGCGAUUUCCUUUCCGGCAAAGCGUGUGUUUCUCGUUUGAAGGUCUGAUUAGCUCGAGAAUUUAGUUCGGGGUGUCCAUUCGCGGUUUGCAGCUUUCGUUCGAGGUUCGGGUUCCGUUUCUCGCUUGCUGAUUUUAUUUUUCAAUCAAGGUUCAGUUCUUCUAUCUCUCUUUGUUUCAAAUGAAUUAAAGUUUGAUUGGUUAUGUGAUUCAUGUUCCUAUGUGUUGGUCUAUGUCUAAAAUGAAUUUGAACUUAAUUUGUUGUUUGAUUCUUGCUCCUUUUGUGCUUGGUGUUCGAUGUUGGCACUGAUAUUUGAUCACAAAGUGGAAGGGAAUUUUAGUUUGUUUGAUCUAGUUUUACAUUUGAUAAGUAUAAAUCUCAAAAUUGGGAGUAAGAUUUGGACUAAUUUCAUUUAAGUAACAAAGUGGGAUUCAGUUGCGUUUUAAAUUAAUGGGUCCAAUAAUAAAAUAUUUACUUUCUUGCAUCUAUUAGGCUUGAAUUUUCUGAGAUUUCCCUAUGGUAUUAGGAGUAUAGAUUAGUUUAGUCUAUUCAUGGGCUAAUAUUAUGCUUGGAUUCAUAGUUCCUUAAUUACUUUCCUAAUUCUGUAAUUCCUUUUAUUCUCGAGAUUUUUCUUUGUUGGAAAAGUUUGGAUGCAAAAGUUUGUUCAAUAAAUGGCCAAAAUAGCAUGUGAACAUUUGUAUACCAAGAUUCUUAAGCAAAAAUGAAAGAAGUUAAAAGGGAUAACAUCUUGAUGCUUGAAUUGUAUCGUGGGGGUCUGUUACUGAACAUAGAAAAGAGAAUUGAUAUUAAUGUGGCACUUUAUUAUUUUAUUGUUUCUAUAUGAUCACUAGGAGCAUGUUUAGGACGAUCACACUCGGGUAGGCAAAUUUUAGGUCUCGUCUUUUGUUUCAUUCGAGGUGAGAGGUCAUUCUCUUUAGUUUAUAUUCAGGGGAAUGCCCCGUAGAGUUUGUAUAUAUUAUUGUUAUCCGGGGUAUGCCCCGAAGUGAAUGUAACGGAGGCUGCAACUACACCGUGGAGGAAGUAUAGUGUAGGUUAGCUUAGGAUUUUACUUUUCAUUAUUUUUAUUUUUCUUUUUCUUUUAUUAGGUAGGGACGACCUCGAUCCUCUUCCGUGUUUGUUUUUGUUUGUGUGUUUUCACCUCAAUUUGAGUAUUCUUAAAAGCCGACUUGGUCAUGUACGCAACCGUACUAGUUACGGGACUCGGGGAAUGCCUAACACCUUCUCCCCGAGUCAAAUGAACCCCCUUACCCGAAUAUCUGGUGCAAACUUAGUUUUGGAGUCCGAAGUGUUUUAAGAGGAAAAUCAUUUUUAAAAAAACGGUGACCUGACACACCAAAACCAAUGUCAGGUAGCGACUCUGAAAAGUCCUUUUGAACACAAAUUUUUGUCAUUUUCUAACUGAAAACCCUUUUUAGCUUUACAAAUCUUUUUAUUUAUUUUAGGAGGGUUACUGAGGUAAAAAAAGUAGUGUGACACCUUGUUUCUUGUCCUUUAGAGUUGCAAGAUACUCCUUGCAAUUUCUCUUCCAAUGCCCUUUCUUCUUACAGUGAAAUCAUUCAGCAUCAUAUACUGACUGUAAGAUCAAAUCUUUAGAAAGCUCUUUACGAAGCUUGUACCCCAAGUUCUCAUGUUCUUCGGUAAGAACAAUCACAUGAUUGACAAGGGGUCCAACUAGAGAAUUUUCAAUGUCGAGCUGUGUAUCAACCAUCUUCUUAAGAUAUUCAAUGAUUGCAGUUGGAUCCAUAUUCUGAUGUUUCCUCUGGAGUUCAGAACUCAUAGAAGCGAGAAUGAUGCGUUUAAUAGCAAGACAUUCUUCCAAGUAUUUAUGAUAAACCUAGGUGCCUUGAACAUCAUUCUCUGGUGGGAUUAUCUUUGCUGGCUUAUCGAUCACAUCAAUGAGCUUUUUAUGCAUGAGAACAAUUCUCAAAUUUCUAUACUAGUCAUCAAAGUUUGGUCCUACCAGCUUGUUGGUCUCAAGUAUUUCACGCAGUGAUAUAACAGACAUAUUGAGAAAUCUAAAAUAUAGAAAAGNNNNNNNNNNNNNNNNNNNNNNNNNNNNNNNNNNNNNNAGGAAUCCUUUAACAAUAUGUAUGAGCCCCUUGGAAGUCAAGUCGUUUCUCACAUAUAUUUUAAAGGUAGGUACUCUUACCAAUUGUAUCCCCAUACAAUUUUCUUAAAUAGCUCAAUGUCAAAUAGUUCACUGGUAGUUAGGUCGAUCCUAUUGGCAUAGUUGAGUUCAACAUCAUGAUAGCAAAGAACUUAUUAAAUUUUAUACUCCUCUGGGUGGUCCAGGCGUCUAGUGUAAAAUUGAAUAAUUCUUUCAAUCCAUACAUCUAAUGCAAUAAAUAAUUUUAACAUAUUCUCGAACUAUAAGUCUCCUGGUAGUCAGGCCGUUCCUUAUAAACAAGAAAUACGUAUAAUUAUUUACUUUGAUGGAUAGCUCUAUAAUAAAAUAUAUUAUUUUAUUAUUUAAGAACUCAAAUUUUAGUAAGAGGGAAUUGUUACUAAAACAGUUUUUAAUAACAUGAAGAUCAAAUCUUUUAUAGCAUGUGAAUUUAGUUCAAAUUGUCUACAUGCUUAGUCCUAAAUUAAUUUACAUCACAUGUAAUAAAUAGUUCAAAAUUAUGUAAUGAACAACGUGACAUAAAAACAAAAUUCAACAUAUUCUAACAUGUAUAUCUUAUAUAUCACAUAAAACUAUUUCAUGCCAGAAAACUAUUAUUAAUUAACAUCUCAUGAACUAAUAACAAUUAAAAUAACAGUAGAAUCCAAUAACCUAUUAUGGAUUACCGUCGUAUCUAAUACAUAAAUUUCAAAUUCAAGUUACGAACUAUCUCAAUAGUUUAACUUAUAUGUAUAUAUAUUUUAUUCACAAUAAAAUUAUAUCAAUCCAUAUGAAUUCAAACAAUUUGACUAUUGCACAAUACACAUGUAUUAUGGUUUGAACUCUUCAAAUAUAAUCUUAAAAUAUUUCGUAAAUAAAUUUUAGACACAAUAAACCACGGCUUUGAUACCACUGAAGGAUUGCGUAUAGGUGUUCGUAACACGCAGCGGAAGACAAUAACAAUCCUAGGCAGAUCUUUUCGUGUUUAAAUUUAUUUGCAUGUCAAAGAUCGGAUCUAAGACGUACCUGGUGAAGAAAGUCUCGUUUCAAAUUCUUCGAUAAUGCGAAGACUCUAUGCGUAUCCACACCGAGACCGAUCCUUGCUAUCAACUCUUUGAUCAACGAAACCCGCGAACAAAUUGAACGAAGAGUAUUGUGUUGAAAUUUUUCUCAAAAAUCUCAACUAAAAUUAGAAGAACAAGAAACACUUUUCUUGUAAUUGUAUUUUCUCUCUUGGCUUUGUAUUGCACUCACUUUCACAAAAUGAGUUUUCUUCUCAAGGAAAAAUUAUGCAGCAAAUUUUCUCCAUCACCCUUUAUAUAGCAUCACCUACAAACCCUUUUCCUAUUUGGUUGAGGUAAUGAUUUAUUUAGGGUAAAAGUUUAAUUCAAAAAUAAACUUUAAGGAAGAAAUCGAAUCACGUUCCCAAGGGUAAUGUGACUGAAGGUAUUUUAUGCCAAGUCCAAUUGGACUUUCACGCAUAUUCGUCCAAUUCAACAAUGGACUUUCACGUAUUACAUCUCUAAUUCCAAAUUGAACAAUAUAGGAGUUUUCCAAUGGAAAUAUAUAUCCCAUUCCUAAUGGGAAUCACGUGCAUGCCAUAGUCCUUUGUGGACUUUCAUCUCCAAUUCCAAAUUGGCGAGGAUAAACUAAUAUAAUAUACAUAACUUUUAUAUAAAUUAAUAUUAUUUUAUAUUAUAUAUAUUACAUAUAUAUUUCAACCAAGAGAUAUAAUUUAAUUUUCUAUUCUAAAUAGAGAACUUCAAUUCGUUCACAAUAUUAAUUAUAAUCUCUAUGCUAGCAAAAAGUAUAAUAAUAUUUCAUUUGGACUAACAACUUUAUUUAUUCGGCUAAUUAAAUUCUUUAAUUCAAUUAUCAAAUAAUAAGUUAAUUAAUCCUUUAGCAAAGAUCAGAACACUCGUUAGUGUGCGACCCCAUAGGUUCAAUACUAAACUAGUAGUAAAUUGAUCACAUCAAUAUACUAAUCAAGGGUGGCGUCUAGCAAUACUCCUUAAUGACCGGAUAGCAUGAAGUAUACAAUUUACUCUCAAGAACCAGUAGAAGAAUAAUGUAGUAAUUCCUUCUAUCCUUAUAGCUCUGGAUCACCCUAGGAUAUUGUUUAACUGUCAAAUCCUAAUAGGCAAUCAACUAUGUGUUCAUGUCAAGUAUAAUCGACCAUUGAAUAACCUAAGAAACUCUUUUCUUCUUUCAUUCAAUUGUCCUGGCCAGGGUCUUAAUUUGGUUGUUUAUAAUUCAUGACAACAUGGAACUUAAACUCAUUACCAAGAGUUGACAGAUUCCAUCUUGAUCUAUCACUAAUUCUACAAGUAUUUAAUCGUACCCAAUAUCCUUUCAACUAUCGCCCUAGGGCCAUAUGUGACUAGUAUCAAAGCACAAUAAAUAACUUGUCAAUCACUAUGACGAUCUCAGGUCAAAGAAAACUCUUACAUCACAUUCUCCAAGAGAAUAUCCUAUUGACAGUUUAUGGUAGUUCUAACCAUUAGGAAUUAUCCAAUGAGUCGGUUCAAUGAUUAUCACACCCUUUUUUAAACAAACUUCACUAAACCCUCUUAAAUAAAUAAAAAGAUUUAGUAAAGCUCAAAAGGGUUUUUCAUUAAAAAGUGACAAAAUUGUGUUCAAAAGGAAAUAACUCAGAGUCGCCACCUGUCAUUGGUUUCGGUGUGUCAGGUCACCGUUUUUUUNNNNNNNNNNNNNNNNNNNNNNNNNNNNNNNNNNNNNNNNNNNNNNNNNNNNNNNNNNNNNNNNNNNNNNNNNNNNNNNNNNNNNNNNNNNNNNNNNNNNNNNNNNNNNNNNNNNNNNNNNNNNNNNNNNNNNNNNNNNNNNNNNNNNNNNNNNNNNNNNNNNNNNNNNNNNNNNNNNNNNNNNNNNNNNNNNNNNNNNNNNNNNNNNNNNNNNNNNNNNNNNNNNNNNNNNNNNNNNNNNNNNNNNNNNNNNNNNNNNNNNNNNNNNNNNNNNNNNNNNNNNNNNNNNNNNNNNNNNNNNNNNNNNNNNNNNNNNNNNNNNNNNNNNNNNNNNNNNNNNNNNNNNNNNNNNNNNNNNNNNNNNNNNNNNNNNNNNNNNNNNNNNNNNNNNNGUUAGGCACUCUCCAAGUCCCGUAACUAGUACGGUUGCAUACUUGAUCAGGUUGGCAUUUAAAAUAUUCAAAUUGAGGUAUAGACACAGAAAAGAAAAGAAACACAAUAGAGGCUCGAGGUCGUCCCCACCUAACCAAAAGAAAAUAAAAAAAGAAAAUAAAUGUAAAAUCCUAAAUACUAAUAUAUAUUAUACUUUUCCCACGAAGUUCGCCAUGGCCUCCAAAUACAUGAUACUACGGGGCAUUCCCCGGAAUAAAAUAUAUACAAAUUUUUUGAGGUAUUUCCCGGAUAAAUUUAACUAAGGGAACAACCUCUCGCCUCGAAACUAAAACACGAACGUCCUAAAGGUUUGCCUACCAAAAUGAUGACGGCCUAAGCAUGCUCCUAGCAAUUAAGAAAAAUAGAAAUAAACUUAAACUAAAAUAAAUAAAACUCAUUUCAUGAUCGUGUUCUUUUGGCUUCCUCAUUUCAUGUGUUUGACGAAACCCAGUUCCUAAAGAAUACGAACAAAUUAACUACUUAUGGUAAACAAAAAGGGUAAAUGAAUACUACGCUAGCUCACUCAAUUUGAAAGAACAUGUCUGCUUGAACUCAACCACAUGAAUAUUCCUCCAACGCAUAUGACUUGAAACUAACAGAGGAUUUUGAAGUGCUAAUUAAACGCCAAUUUCAAAACAGUGACUUACUAACUUUCAUUAUACCGAAGAAAAACUUUUGUAGGAUUAAUAAAAGUACUUUUAUACUCAUUUCCUAUUGAUAAUAGAUAAAGAAAACAAGCAACACUCUUCAAUUUUAAGACCACACCUCAGAUAGUGAAACAGAUUCAUCGUAACGGUGCUAUCGCAACAUGAAAUCCGAUCAAAUUUACACACAUUUGAACACUAGCAGAUUCUAAAAAGCAGAAGUUGAAGAAAUGGACAGCCACAAUUAUUUUUACUAAACGAUAAGAAAUCAACAAACACACUAAACUACAUGAAAAUAGAAAGGAAUAAGGGAAAGAACCUGUAAGGCAGCAGAUUUAUUUAGUAUAUGAAAAACAAAGUUUCUGAAACAGCUUCACCAAAAUAAAGAUCCGGAUGAAGAAAAUAGCAGGGAGGCAAAUCAAAAAACGUGAACAAAACUCCGGUUGGAAUCCGCUCGACACGACGCAACCUCGAACACGAAACUUGAAUCAACCUCGACUCAGCUUCCGGCCUCAAAUAAUCUCAUCUUUUAAAAAUCGGAAAUCAGAGAAGAGGCUGGAAUUAUUUUUUUUUAUGUUCUGUAUUUCUUUUUCUUUUUUAAAAAAAAAUUGAGAUCAAAAUCAAACUAAAAGAACCGAAGAAGAAGAUAUCCAAAGCUAAACUUAAGCUCUCAUUUUUUCUAAUUCUGUCCCAAAAUCCUCCGUUUUUUUUUCAUUUUUCAGCUUUUGUUUCUCGUCCAUCCCCUUACAUGUGUGUGAAAGUGAAGAUGGGAAUGGAGUCGCGGCCUUAUGCAGCUGUUUGCGAAGGGAGGAGAGGGUGGUGGGUUUUUCGCGAAGGUGAAGGCUUGGGAUCGAGUGGCUGGUUGAUGAAGGUUGUUGAAAGGUGGUCUGAUGGCUGGAGAGAAGCUGGCGGAAUGGCUGGCGGCGGCUCUUGUUUUUAGUUCAAGACUGGAAUUGAAAACUUGGCUUAGGUUUCUAUAAUUGAGUAUUUUAUAUGAAGGUGAGAAGGGAUGAUGGUCAUCGGAUUAGAAGGAAAUAGAUGACUAGGAUUAAAUCUUGCACAUAAAUGGG